This 2242-nucleotide long non-coding RNA is filed under the name Macaca fascicularis (crab-eating macaque). RNAcentral's name for it is "lncRNA (ENSMFAG00000060491.1)". The record is from RNAcentral. Lineage: Eukaryota; Metazoa; Chordata; Mammalia; Primates; Cercopithecidae.
AAAUUAGGAUAUGAUUUUUAUUCAGGCUAUUGCAAUAGGGGGACAUUCGUUAAUAAGAAAUACCUCAAAGAAAAGGAAUGAGCCUGGCUUUUAUGGAGACAAAGAGAGUCUUAAGGGAGCAUGAGGAAGGAUGGAGGUGGGUCUUACUUCAGAAUAUGCAAAACCUGCAUGGCCCUUGGCAAUUAGCCAGUUCCUACAACCCAAAAGGGCAGAAGAUUUCUUAACAUCUCUACUUUUUAGAGUAUAAGACUUAGAUUAAGUUCCACAUUGUCAGUCCUCCCUUUUGUUGAAAAUGAACAUCAUUGCCACUGUUGGGACUCAGAAAACAAUACCCCAAAAUGAAAGCCUCCAAAGUAGCCUCAGAAGCAAAGUCUCUUUCUGACCUUCUUCUGCGCCCCCCGCCCUGUCUCUCACCCCUCAUUCUCCCCUGAGAUAAACCAUAGAAACUGUGAUCCCUCUUCCCCAAGAUGGGUCAUAGAAACAAGAACUCCUUUUCCCCAAAGCCAGCCAUAAAACCUAGAAAUAUUAUUCUAACCUUCCACCAUUCUUCUGUGUAACACUUAGCCAUAAAGAAACUAAGACCCCCAUCCCAGAGGGGUCCUACCCCAUACCUGGGAGGAAGGAAUGCUGCACGGAGAGGCCAAGAAGAAGCUGAACAGCCAGGCCUUGGUAGGUUUCCCCACGCAAUCUAUUUCCAUUAGAUCAUACCCUUUUUUGUCCAAUCACAUUUCCACAUGACCGUCCCUGCUUCAUCAAACCUAAGCAUAAAAUUAGAUAGCUUCUCCUGUAUCUCUGGGUCUUCAUUCUGAAGGCUCAACUGUCAUGUAAAACUAUGAUCAAAGAAGCUGUUCAUUGUUUGAAGCAAUAAGGUGCAAAUGAAACCUGUCUUUACAUGCACAAUGGGGCAUAUGCUUCCAUAAAUGCCUGAUUGUGUGUGCAAAUGAGUGUUUUACACACCCAGUUACUAUAUUUAUAUUUUUGCUAUAUUUAUAUUUUUAGGGUCAGUGUAAGUGCUUUCAUUUUUUAAAAUGAAAUUGUUUUAAAAAAAACUGGUCGGGCGCGUUGGCUCACCCUGUAAUCCCAGCACUUUGGGAGGCCGAGGCGGGCGGAUCACGAGGUCAGGAGAUCGAGACCAUCCUGGCUAACACGGUGAAACCCCAUCUCUACUAAAAAAAAAAAAAAAACUAGCCGGGCGAGGUGACGGGCGCCUGUAGUCCCAGGUACUCUGGAGGCUCAGGGAGGAGAAUGACGUGAACCUGGGAGGCGGAGCUUGCAGUGAGCUGAGAUCCGGCCACUGCACUCCAGCCUGGGCGACAGCGCGAGACUCCGUCUCAAACAAAAAACUAUGAUCAAAUACACUUGUUAUUUUUUUUCCGGUUAACCUGUCUUUUGUUAUAGGGUGUUGGCCAUGAUCCUUAUGAUGGGGAGGAAAGGAAUCACCAAUUUUCUGCUCCCUCCCACUGAACAACUUAGAGAUGACCUAAGGCCUCCUUACCUGUGUGAAGUAACUGGGAAUUGGAAGGUGAGGUCCAGUUAUAUCCAAGUGUUGGCAUCAAACUGUGAAACACAAAAUGCACUGGACAAUUAAGGAUAUGAUUUUAUUCAUGCCGUUGCAAUAGGGAGAACAUUUAUUAAUGAAGAAUAACUCAAAGGAAAGGAAGGGGUCCUGGUCUCCCAUGAUUCCUCAUGGAAGCCUUGGGGAAGGAUGAAGGUGGGUCUUAUCACAGAAUAUUCCAGGGCUGGGUUGUCCUUUGUGGGGAUGGUUGUUUCUUUUGAAACAUAAAAGGGUAGGAGAUUUCUUUCUCUCUCUCUCUCUUUUUUUUUUUUCUUUAAGAGACAGGGUCUCACUCUGUCUCCCCAGCUGGAGUGCAGUGGUGUAAUCAUGGCUCACUGCAUGCAACCUCAGCCUCCUGGGCACAAGUGAUCUAUCUCAGCCUCUCAAGUAGCUGACACUACAGAACAACAGGUGCACCACCACGACAAGCUAAUUUUGUUGUUGUUGUUGUGGAGAUGGGGUCUACCUGUGUUGCCUAGGCUGAUCUCAAGCUCCUAGGCUCAAGUCAUCCUCCUGCCUUGGCCUCCCAUAGUACUGGUGUUACAGACAAGAGCCACUGUAUUUGGCCCAGUAGGGGAUUUCUUAAGCAUCACUGCUUUUAGGGAACAAAAGCCUUACAGAAAGUUUAACAGUGUCAAAAUUCUUUUAAGAGGUCAAAGCAAAUUUGAAAAAAAAAAAAAAAAAAAA